This 216-nucleotide ribosomal RNA is filed under the name Glomeromycotina sp. RNAcentral describes it as "partial small subunit ribosomal RNA". The stretch from base 44 to 216 matches the Rfam family "Eukaryotic small subunit ribosomal RNA", at positions 690 to 864 of the family's 1831-position model. Lineage: Eukaryota; Fungi; Glomeromycota. The record is from RNAcentral.
GGGUCAGUAGGUUGGUCGUGCCACCGGUACGUACUGGUCUCACUGAUUCCUCCUUCCUGAAGAACCGUAAUGCCAUUAAUUUGGUGUUGCGGGGAACCAGGACUGUUACUUUGAAAAAAUUAGAGUGUUUAAAGCAAGCUAACGCUUGAAUACAUUAGCAUGGAAUAAUGAAAUAGGACGAUCGAUCCUAUUUUGUCGGUUUCUAGGAUUGACGUA